Molecule: long non-coding RNA, 216 nt
Organism: Nothoprocta perdicaria
Lineage: Eukaryota; Metazoa; Chordata; Aves; Tinamiformes; Tinamidae
Exons: 2
Source: RefSeq, a predicted model, not a curated record
CGGUACGAAGUCAUGUGAGGCCAGCAUAAGAACAGGAGACUGGAAGGCAGAGAGAGGAUAGAUCACUUGGAAGUGUCAGAUACCGUAAUGUGACUUCUGACGUAGCUGCACACAACCUAUGUGGCCUUGGAUGGAUGUUGGAUGCACGCCGUGAAUGCUGAUGCAUGCGGAGCCCACUUCAUCCRUGCCACGCAGCUCUGAGCAGAUACAGCAGCU